CGGGGCGGGGGCACGGGGGGAACGCGAAGAACCUUACCUACCCUUGACAUGGUCGGAAUCCUGCCGAGAGGCGGGAGUGCUCGAAAGAGAACCGGCGCACAGGUGCUGCAUGGCUGUCGUCAGCUCGUGUCGUGAGAUGUUGGGUUAAGUCCCGCAACGAGCGCAACCCUUGUCCUUAGUUGCUACGCAAGAGCACUCUAAGGAGACUGCCGGUGACGGACCGGAGGAAGGUGGGGAUGACGUCAAGUCCUCAUGGCCCUUAUGGGUAGGGCUUCACACGUCAUAC
This 286-nucleotide ribosomal RNA is filed under the name Burkholderia territorii. Its description in RNAcentral is "partial 16S ribosomal RNA". It matches the Rfam family "Bacterial small subunit ribosomal RNA", at positions 938 to 1224 of the family's 1533-position model. The record is from RNAcentral. Lineage: Bacteria; Pseudomonadati; Pseudomonadota; Betaproteobacteria; Burkholderiales; Burkholderiaceae.